This 378-nucleotide ribosomal RNA is filed under the name uncultured bacterium. RNAcentral describes it as "bacterial SSU rRNA". It matches the Rfam family "Bacterial small subunit ribosomal RNA", at positions 27 to 399 of the family's 1533-position model. The record is from RNAcentral.
GGAUGAACGCUAGCGGCAGGCUUAAUACAUGCAAGUCGAGGGGCAGCAUGACUGUAGCAAUACAGUUGAUGGCGACCGGCAAACGGGUGCGGAACACGUACGCAACCUACCCAAAACUGAGGAAUAGCCCGGGGAAACCCGGAUUAAUACCUCGUAACAUAAUUGAAUGGCAUCAUUUAAUUAUUAAAGCUCCGGUGGUUUUGGAUGGGCGUGCGCCUGAUUAGGUAGUUGGAGGGUAACGGCCUACCAAGCCAACGAUCAGUAACUGGUGUGAGAGCACGACCAGUCACACGGGCACUGAGACACGGGCCCGACUCCUACGGGGAGCAGCAGUAAGGAAUAUUGGUCAAUGGACGCAAGUCUGAACCAGCCAUGCCG